GGUUAUACGAAGGAUUUAAAUGAAAUAGAUUGGUGGAAUUGAGUAAAUUAUUAUUUCUAGUAAAUUUUUUAAAUAGUGGAUCAAGAGUAAAAUUUUUAAUUCUCUAAGUAAAAAAUUAUAAAAAAAUAUAUAAUCUUUAAAAAUUAGGAUUUAGACUAGGAUUAGAUACCCUAUUAUUCCUUAUUAAGUUAUUUGCCUGGGUAGUAAAAUUUUUUAAACCUAAAGAAUUUGGCGGUACUUCAUUCUUACUAGAGGAACCUGCUCUUGGAUCGAUAAUCCACGUUUUAAUGUACAUGUUUUUGUUUUCAGUUUGUAUACCGCCGUUGUCUGAUUAUUUUCAAAGAUCAUAAUCUAAUUAAUUGUUAAUUAGGACUUCAGGUCAAGGUGCAGCUUAUAAGCAUGGGAGUAGUGGGUUACAAUAAUUUAAAUUUAAACGGAUUGGUAAUUGUAAUUAAUUCUAUGAAGGUGGAUUUAGUAGUAAAUCAAGAAUAAAAUUCUUUUUUGAAUUGAGCUCUGAAGUGUGUACACAUCGCCCGUCGCUCUCUCCUCUUAAGGAGAGAUAAGUCGUAAC
RNAcentral lists this ribosomal RNA (571 nucleotides) under Triops granarius. Its description in RNAcentral is "partial 12S ribosomal RNA". The stretch from base 199 to 571 matches the Rfam family "Microsporidia small subunit ribosomal RNA", at positions 752 to 1275 of the family's 1311-position model. The record is from RNAcentral. Lineage: Eukaryota; Metazoa; Arthropoda; Branchiopoda; Notostraca; Triopsidae.